UGCGUAGAUAUCUGCCUUUUAGUGGAGGAUAACCUGGGGAAACUCAGGCUAAUACUGCAUAAUCUCUACGGAGCAAAGCGGAGGAUCUUCGGACUUCGCGCUAUUAGAUGAGUCUACGUCUGAUUAGCUAGUUGGUGCGGUAACGGCGUACCAAGGCAACGAUCAGUAGCUGGUCUGAGAGGAUGAUCAGCCACACCGGGACUGAGACACGGCCCGGACUCCUACGGGAGGCAGCAGUGGGGAAUAUUGGACAAUGGGCGAAAGCCUGAUCCAGCCAUGCCGCGUGUGUGAAGAAGGCCU
RNAcentral lists this ribosomal RNA (300 nucleotides) under uncultured Salinisphaera sp. Its description in RNAcentral is "bacterial SSU rRNA". It matches the Rfam family "Bacterial small subunit ribosomal RNA", at positions 114 to 417 of the family's 1533-position model. The record is from RNAcentral. Lineage: Bacteria; Pseudomonadati; Pseudomonadota; Gammaproteobacteria; Salinisphaerales; Salinisphaeraceae.